AUUGAACGCUGGCGGAAUGCUUCACACAUGCAAGUCGAACGGCAGCACGGACUUCGGUCUGGUGGCGAGUGGCGAACGGGUGAGUAAUGUAUCGGAACGUGCCCAGUCGUGGGGGAUAACGUAGUGAAAAUUACGCUAAUACCGCACACGAUCUAUGGAUGAAAGCGGGGGAUCGCAAGACCUCGCGCGAUUGGAGCGGCCGAUAUCAGAUUAGGUAGUUGGUGGGGUAAAGGCCCACCAAGCCAACGAUCUGUAGCUGGUCUGAGAGGACGACCAGCCACACUGGAACUGAGACACGGUCCAGACUCCUACGGGAGGCAGCAGUGGGGAAUUUUGGACAAUGGGCGAAAGCCUGAUCCAGCCAUUCCGCGUGCAGGAUGAAGGCCCUCGGGUUGUAAACUGCUUUUGUACAGAACGAAAAGGUUUCUACUAAUACUAGGAGCUCAUGACGGUACUGUAAGAAUAAGCACCGGCUAACUACGUGCCAGCCGCCGCAGUAA
RNAcentral lists this ribosomal RNA (500 nucleotides) under uncultured bacterium. RNAcentral's name for it is "partial 16S ribosomal RNA". It matches the Rfam family "Bacterial small subunit ribosomal RNA", at positions 30 to 523 of the family's 1533-position model. The record is from RNAcentral.